AUUGAACGCUGGCGGCAUGCUUUACACAUGCAAGUCGGACGGCAGCACAGAGAAGCUUGCUUCUUGGGUGGCGAGUGGCGAACGGGUGAGUAACAUAUCGGAACGUACCGAGCAGUGGGGGAUAACUAAUCGAAAGAUUAGCUAAUACCGCAUAUCUUCUGAGGAAGAAAGCAGGGGACCAUUUGGCCUUGCGCUGUUUGAGCGGCCGAUAUCUGAUUAGCUAGUUGGUGGGGUAACGGCCUACCAAGGCGACGAUCAGUAGCGGGUCUGAGAGGAUGAUCAGCCACACUGGGACUGAGACACGGCCCAGACUCCUACGGGAGGCAGCAGUGGGGAAUUUUGGACAAUGGGCGCAAGCCUGAUCCAGCCAUGCCGCGUGUCUGAAGAAGGCCUUCGGGUUGUAAAGGACUUUUGUCAGGGAAGAAAAGGGCGGGGUUAAUACCCCUGUCUGAUGACGGUACCUGAAGAAUAAGCACCGGCUAACUACGUG
This 490-nucleotide ribosomal RNA is filed under the name uncultured bacterium. RNAcentral's name for it is "partial 16S ribosomal RNA". It matches the Rfam family "Bacterial small subunit ribosomal RNA", at positions 30 to 507 of the family's 1533-position model. The record is from RNAcentral.